UAAUUAAUAAUCUUGUCGAAAACAUGAACACAAAUACAAUGUGUUUAAUACUCAACAUAGGACCCAAUUCCAACCGUCUUAUAUUAAAAGCUACAUGAUACACAUUAUAGAUUUUAGAUUUAUGAAAUACACACAAGAAGUGUUAACUUUAUUCAACGUGCUAGUCUUAUUGACCCAUUAAACCAAACCCGUUUAUAUACGUGUCAUAUAUGGAAUUGCCUAUUCUAGACUUCGAUUGUUUCUUGUUUUAACUUUAUUUUACUUAUUGAUCAACUAUGUGUUUUGGUUGACUACUAUAAGGAUAUCAAGGUUGACUACUAUAAGGAUAUCAAGGUUCUCCCACGCGUCGCUAGAAAUAUGACCCUGCCACCGCAAGCACCCUUAUGCCCAAGAAGUCUCUUGUAAUAACUGACAGUGAUAUUAUUAUUUCUGAUUCACCAAAGAGACAUGUUUGUUUUUCAGGGUUUUCACCACGGUACAAUCCGUUGGAUCCCAACGGGAAGACCCCAAAAACGGACAUGGUUCCCUUGAAUGACGAGGGGAAGAAAAUCUGGCUGCAGUUUCUAGAAUUUGCUAAAUCGAUGCGUGCACUUAUUUCAAUAUCUCUAGGUUAUUCACAUGUAGAGAAAGAAAAAAGGCCAAUUCCGCUCAAUAAUCCUGUUGUUGGUCUUAUUAGUUCCUUUGCGAUUGAUACCUUCAACCAAGCUUUUGAGAUGAUUAGAUUUUCUUCCAACUUCUUUGAAUCUUCUACCAUAUGUUUUUUGUCAUAUUUGUUAAGCAAGUUUAUGUUGCUAGCUUAUUAAGGAGAGCGAACAUAACCGCAUUGAUGGUAUUGAGUUUCUCAAGUGCACCUAUAUAAAGAUGGUCGGGGUGUAUUAUUUUUACCUGACUAUAAUGGCACGUGAAAAAGGAAAUCUUGGCAUCUAUGAGACAAAAGUUAAAUGCCAAACGGCAUCCGGACGCAGAAGUUUCAGCUACUUUGUCCUGACAUAUCCUCCAUUAGAAGAUAGUGAAGAUGAUCGGUCUGAUUCAGAGGACAGUGGAGAUGAUUGGUCUGAUCCAGAGGACAAUCUAUCUAUCGAGGGGAUGGAGCUUAGGAAGAAGAACGCCGCUUGUAGGGGUUACGACUUCCAUACCCCAUAUGGAUUCGAUGGUCCUUGACUUUAUGAUUAUGCUUUGUGGGACUAGUUGCGAGAAGUUGGCAGGCAUAAAAGUAUGAAGUAUGAUUAAAGAUGUAAUUGAUCACAAGUGAAGCUAGCACCAGGAAGUCUCACGUAGACUUGAUGAGCGGUUUAUAUAACAUCUCUCUAUCUUGAAACUUUCUAGGCUUUUCGUGCACUCCUAAUACUAGUUUAAUUAACGAAUGGUUCUGUACAUUAAUAAGUUGUAUUGUUUGCCGGAACACCAUUCAAUUGUUGGAAUAUGAUCACGUUAUAAUAAACGCAUGUCCGGUAUUUAUUUAA
This is an RNA transcript of Erigeron canadensis, 1463 nucleotides long. RefSeq lists it as uncharacterized. The record is from RefSeq and is a predicted model, not a curated record. Lineage: Eukaryota; Viridiplantae; Streptophyta; Magnoliopsida; Asterales; Asteraceae. The transcript has 6 exons.